RNAcentral lists this long non-coding RNA (199 nucleotides) under Hordeum vulgare. RNAcentral describes it as "long non-coding RNA (HVUL_LNC003115)". Lineage: Eukaryota; Viridiplantae; Streptophyta; Magnoliopsida; Poales; Poaceae. The record is from RNAcentral.
CAAGAUUUGGCUAUUGUGAGAAGAAUAGAAUUAGAAAACAAAAUCAAGCUGAGUGUAAAAUUGCUCAUAGAUUUCAUCUAAUUAUGAGAAUGAGUGUAAAAUUGCUACUUGGCGAAACACACAUGGCUGAUGGAGCAUUAUCCUCACAAGGCACUAUUGACGAUUGAGCUGAUUUGGUAGUCUUUGUCCUCUUCUUUGG